GCGAGAGUGGUGAAACUGGCAGACACGCUGGAUUUAGGUUCCAGUGCCGCAAGGCGUGUGGGUUCGACUCCCACCUUUCGUACCA
RNAcentral lists this transfer RNA (85 nucleotides) under Lentisphaeria bacterium. RNAcentral's name for it is "tRNA-Leu". It matches the Rfam family "tRNA". From Rfam's summary of the family: Transfer RNA (tRNA) molecules are approximately 80 nucleotides in length. Their secondary structure includes four short double-helical elements and three loops (D, anti-codon, and T loops). RNAcentral also lists the same sequence under 1 other name. The record is from RNAcentral. Lineage: Bacteria; Pseudomonadati; Lentisphaerota; Lentisphaeria.